Non-coding RNA from Peltaster fructicola, 85 nucleotides. NCBI's taxonomy places the organism in Eukaryota, Fungi, Ascomycota, Dothideomycetes. The record is from the annotation of a GenBank genome assembly.
GCCUUGCUAGCUCAAUCGGUAGAGCGUGAGACUCUUAAAUAAGAGCACGAUCUCAAGGUUGUGGGUUCGACCCCCACGUAGGGCU